Molecule: ribosomal RNA, 433 nt
Filed under: uncultured bacterium
Lineage: Bacteria
Description: partial 16S ribosomal RNA
Rfam family: Bacterial small subunit ribosomal RNA
Source: RNAcentral
AACGAACGCUGGCGGCAUGCCUAACACAUGCAAGUCGAACGAGACCUUCGGGUCUAGUGGCGCACGGGUGCGUAACGCGUGGGAACCUGCCCUUAGGUUCGGAAUAACUCCCCGAAAGGGGUGCUAAUACCGGAUAAUGUCUUCGGACCAAAGAUUUAUCGCCUUUGGAUGGGCCCGCGUUGGAUUAGCUAGUUGGUAGGGUAAAAGCCUACCAAGGCGACGAUCCAUAGCUGGUCUGAGAGGAUGAUCAGCCACACUGGGACUGAGACACGGCCCAGACUCCUACGGGAGGCAGCAGUGGGGAAUAGUGGACAAUGGGCGAAAGCCUGAUCCAGCAAUGCCGCGUGAGUGAUGAAGGCCUUAGGGUUGUAAAGCUCUUUUAACCGGGAUGAUAAUGACAGUACCGGGAGAAUAAGCUCCGGCUAACUCCGUG